This 246-nucleotide unclassified non-coding RNA is filed under the name uncultured fungus. RNAcentral's name for it is "partial contains 18S rRNA, ITS1, 5.8S rRNA, ITS2 and 28S rRNA". Lineage: Eukaryota; Fungi. The record is from RNAcentral.
AAGGAUCAUUACCGAGUUCACGUACUCAAAUAACCCUUCUGUGGACCUGAAUUAAAACCGUUGCCUCGGCGGGCGGUCCCCUGCCAAAACCCACGUGGUGUGGGCAGGGGACCAGACAGUCCGGCACGCUUGAGGCGUCCGGCGCCAGCCGCUGGCCCUAAACAAUUAAACUCUAGUAACCUUACCUUCUGAGUUUUAAUGCAAAAAAAUAAGUCAAAACUUUCAACAACGGAUCUCUUGGCUCUG